GACAUAGGUCGCAAACGUUAUCCGGAAUUAUUGGGCGUAAAGGGCGCGUAGGCGGCUAGAUGUGUCAAAGGUGAAAUCCCUCGGCUCAACUGAGGAACUGCCUUUGAAACUGUCUGGCUUGAGGCCGGGAGAGGGUAGCGGAAUUCCCAGUGUAGCGGUGAAAUGCGUAGAUAUUGGGAGGAACACCAGUGGCGAAGGCGGCUACCUGGACCGGUUCUGACGCUGAGGCGCGAAAGCGUGGGGAGCGAACAGG
Molecule: ribosomal RNA, 253 nt
Filed under: uncultured bacterium
Lineage: Bacteria
Description: partial 16S ribosomal RNA
Rfam family: Bacterial small subunit ribosomal RNA
Source: RNAcentral